RNAcentral lists this ribosomal RNA (492 nucleotides) under uncultured bacterium. Its description in RNAcentral is "partial 16S ribosomal RNA". It matches the Rfam family "Bacterial small subunit ribosomal RNA", at positions 28 to 507 of the family's 1533-position model. The record is from RNAcentral.
GAUGAACGCUAGCUACAGGCUUAACACAUGCGAGUCGAGGGGAAACGACAUCGAAAGCUUGCUUUUGAUUUUCGUCGACCGGCGCACGGGUGAUUAACGCGUAUCCAACCUUCCCAUCACUUGGGGAUAACCUUUCGAAAUUAAGACUAAUACCCAUUGAUAUCUCUAGUAUACAUCUGUAAGUUAUUUAAGUUUUAUCUUUUAUGGAUGGUGAUGCGUCUGAUUAGCUUGUUGGGGAGGUAACGGCCCACCAAGGCAACGAUCAGUAGGGGUUAUGAGAGGAAGGUCAACCACAUGGGAACUGAGACACGGACAAAACUGCUAGGGGAGGGAGCAGUGAGGAAUAUUGGGGAAUGGGCGAGAGCAUGAAACAGCCAAGUAGGGUGAAGGAAGACGGGGAUAUGGGUUGUAAACUGCUUUUAUAAGGGAAUAAAGUGAGAGUCGUGACUCUUUUUGAAUGUAACUUAUGAAUAAGGAACGGCUAAUUACGUG